AUGGCUCAGAACGUACGCUGGCGGCACGCCUAACACAUGCAAGUCGAACGAAGUAGCAAUACUUAGUGGCAGACGGGUGAGUAACAUGUGGGUAUCUGCCCUUUGGCCUGGAAUAACACGAGGAAACUUGUGCUAAUACCGGAUAAGUCUUUACGGAGAAAGCUUUAUGCACCAUUGGAUGAGCCCGCACUUGAUUAGUUUGUUGGUGGGGUAAUGGCCUACCAAGACUGUGAUCAAUAGCUGAUUUGAGAGGAUGAUCAGCCACAUUGGGACUGAGACACGGCCCAAACUCCUACGGGAGGCAGCAGUGGGGAAUCUUGCACAAUGGAGGAAACUCUGAUGCAGCGAUGCCGCGUGAGUGAAGAAGGCCCUUGGGUUGUAAAGCUCUUUCGUCGGGGAAGAAAAUGACUGUACCCGAAUAAGAAGGUCCGGCUAACUUCGUGCCAGCAGCCGCGGUAAUACGAAGGGACCUAGCGUAGUUCGGAAUUACUGGGCUUAAAGAGUUCGUAGGUGGUUGAAAAAGUUAGUGGUGAAAUCCCAGAGCUUAACUCUGGAACUGCCAUUAAAACUUUUCAGCUAGAGUAUGAUAGAGGAAAGCAGAAUUUCUAGUGUAGAGGUGAAAUUCGUAGAUAUUAGAAAGAAUACCAAUUGCGAAGGCAGCUUUCUGGAUCAUUACUGACACUGAGGAACGAAAGCAUGGGUAGCGAAGAGGAUUAGAUACCCUCGUAGUCCAUGCCGUAAACGAUGUGUGUUAGACGUUGGAAAUUUAUUUUCAGUGUCGCAGCGAAAGCGAUAAACACACCGCCUGGGGAGUACGACCGCAAGGUUAAAACUCAAAUGAAUUGACGGGGACCCGCACAAGUAGUGGAGCAUGUGGUUUAAUUCGAAGAUACGCGCAGAACCUUACCAACACUUGACAUGUUCGUCGCGACUCUAAGAGAUUAGAGUUUUCGGUUCGGCCGGACGAAACACAGGUGCUGCAUGGCUGUCGUCAGCUCGUGUCGUGAGAUGUUGGGUUAAGUCCCGCAACGAGCGCAACCCUCACUUUUAGUUGCCAUCAUUAAGUUGGGCACUCUGAAAGAACUGCCAGUGAUAAGCUGGAGGAAGGUGGGGAUGACGUCAAGUCCUCAUGGCCCUUACGUGUUGGGCUACACACGUGCUACAAUGGUAUCUACAACAGGAAG
RNAcentral lists this ribosomal RNA (1184 nucleotides) under uncultured bacterium. RNAcentral describes it as "bacterial SSU rRNA". It matches the Rfam family "Bacterial small subunit ribosomal RNA", at positions 19 to 1249 of the family's 1533-position model. The record is from RNAcentral.